AACGUAGGACGCAAGCGUUAUCCGGAGUUACUGGGCGUAAAGCGCGGGCAGGCGGUCGGUCAAGUCUGAUGUGAAAUCUCUCCGCUCAACGGGGAGCAGCCAUUGGAGACUGGGCGACUGGAGUCUGACAGAGGUAGGCGGAAUUCCGGGUGGAGUGGUGAAAUGCGUAGAGAUCCGGAGGAACACCAGAGGCGAAGGCGGCCUACUGGGUCAGUACUGACGCUGAGCCGCGAAAGCCAGGGGAGCGAACGGG
Molecule: ribosomal RNA, 253 nt
Filed under: uncultured bacterium
Lineage: Bacteria
Description: partial 16S ribosomal RNA
Rfam family: Bacterial small subunit ribosomal RNA
Source: RNAcentral